GACGAACGCUGGCGGCGUGGAUUAGGCAUGCAAGUCGAACGGUAGGGACCCUUCGGGGUUCUGAGAGUGGCGAACGGGUGAGUAACACGUAGGUGAUCUACCCUCAAAUGGGGGACAACCCAGGGAAACUUGGGCUAAUACCGCAUGAGAGUGCUCGAAAGAGUAUUUAAAAGAUGGCAGUAAUGCUGUCGUUUGGGGAUGAGCCUGCGCCCUAUUAGUUAGUUGGUGAGGUAAUGGCUCACCAAGGCGAUGAUAGGUAGGCGGCCUUAACGGGUGGUCGCCCACACUGGGAUUGAGAUACGGCCCAGACUCCUACGGGUGGCAG
Molecule: ribosomal RNA, 325 nt
Filed under: uncultured Spirochaetota bacterium
Lineage: Bacteria; Pseudomonadati; Spirochaetota
Description: bacterial SSU rRNA
Rfam family: Bacterial small subunit ribosomal RNA
Source: RNAcentral